This 1300-nucleotide unclassified non-coding RNA is filed under the name Athalia rosae (coleseed sawfly). RNAcentral describes it as "misc RNA ENSAEAG00005006958.1". The record is from RNAcentral. Lineage: Eukaryota; Metazoa; Arthropoda; Insecta; Hymenoptera; Athaliidae.
GUGAGAACGCGUUCCGCGGCAGCAGCGUCAUCGUCAUCGUCAUCAUCGACGUCGAAGAGUAAUCCGUCAAAAAUGGCGUGCGAAAAAGCUGCCAGGCGUCUCAGGGCACUUUUAUUCAAAGCAUCGAGGCUCGGAGUUCCAACGAGCGACGUCGCUUCCCUACCAUCGGCUAAAAAGUUGAUCCCUCAGAGAGAUCACGGAUGGAAAAUCGCCGUAUUUCUGAUCCUAAUGUUCGGGGGAGGCGUUAUUGUCGCACUGAUAUGUACAACGAGAAGAGGAUGCUCGAGGAUCGAAGAUAUCAAUCUGGCGACCUAGCCUCGUCGAACUGGGAAUCUACACGAUGCACCGGUUUAGAUCGACGGACGUUAUCGGAGAAAAGAAGAACCGAUCUUACCGGGUCGCCACGCUCGCUCAGAUAUUCUUUUCUUCGUUCAAUUUUCUUUUUAUUAUUUGAAAAAUAAUUAUUUUACCAUCACGAUGUGUAUGAAUCGAAGUAAACUUUGAAUUGUAUAAUAUUGGCGAAUUAUAAAUUAUAGUUAUGACGUAAUAAAGUUGUUGCCAACAACUAAAAUACGAGAAUUUGAAAUCAGUUUGAAAUUCUGCACUGGACAGCUACGCGUAAGCUAUACCCCGAUUUUCUCGUUUCAUUUUUUCUUCGGAAAAUGAAGAGAUCGUGAGGUUUUCCUGUGGUCAGAUGAGAUAGGAGAAUUUUCUCAACUCACGCGUGAUAAACUUUGCUCGAAAAAUAGCCCUGUGUAUACGUACUUUGUGUUUCACCAUCAAUUUUCCGUCGACUUCGAUCGCCUGGAAGCCUGAGAAAUAAAUUUCAUGCAUUUACUUAUGAAUGUAUAGUUAUAUAAAUAAAUCUAGAUCAUCCGCAUUAUGUAAUUAAUACAAGUAUUAUUAAUGUAAUAUCGAUAACUACCGCAUAACUACCACACGAGAGUACAGAAAAUAAUAAUAAUAACAAUUAUAUUAUAACGAUAAAUUAACGAGCGUCUUAGCUCCGUGUAAUACAUACAUAAUGGAGAUUUAGUGAUAUUCGAUUAAUCGAUCAAGUGUAAAACAAAUUUAUAAGCGAUAGAUAUACCGACAUUAUGUAAAUUGAUAAAUUAUUUUGUAAAUACGUGUCGAAUAAUUUAUAAUCGAUUGUACUUACCGAACUAAAAAUCUUUUGUUAUUUAUAACAUGUGCGUGGGUUGCAGGUGUUUGGAAAAAUAGCGUUUGUAUAUAUGAAUAAAUAAAUAAAUCAAUUCAUCAAUUUUUAAUUGUCUGUAAAUCUGGGUUCCAACGUUUGUUG